GAUGAACGCUGGCGGCGUGCUUAACACAUGCAAGUCGAACGAGAAAUGGAGACGGAACCCUUCGGGCGGAAGGCUUCAUUUCGAGUGGCGGACGGGUGAGUAACGCGUGGGUAACCUGCCUCAUACAGGGGGAUAACAGUUGGAAACGACUGUUAAUACCGCAUAAGACCACAGCACCGCAUGGUGCGGGGGUAAAAACUCCGGUGGUAUGAGAUGGACCCGCGUUCGAUUAGCCAGUUGGCGGGGUAACGGCCCACCAAAGCGACGAUCGAUAGCCGAUCUGAGAGGAUGACCGGACACAUUGGGACUGAGACACGGCCCAAACUCCUACGGGAGGCAGCAGUGGGGAAUAUUGCACAAUGGGGGAAACCCUGAUGCAGCGACGCCGCGUGAGUGAAGAAGUACUUCGGUAUGUAAAGCUCUAUCAGCAGGGAAGAAAAUGACGGUACCUGAGGAAGAAGCCCCGGCUAACUACGUG
Molecule: ribosomal RNA, 478 nt
Filed under: uncultured bacterium
Lineage: Bacteria
Description: partial 16S ribosomal RNA
Rfam family: Bacterial small subunit ribosomal RNA
Source: RNAcentral